This 1320-nucleotide ribosomal RNA is filed under the name Microbacterium sp. B-2027. RNAcentral's name for it is "bacterial SSU rRNA". It matches the Rfam family "Bacterial small subunit ribosomal RNA", at positions 131 to 1461 of the family's 1533-position model. The record is from RNAcentral. Lineage: Bacteria; Bacillati; Actinomycetota; Actinomycetes; Micrococcales; Microbacteriaceae.
CUCCACUUCGGGAUAAGCCUUGGAAACGGGGUCUAAUACCGGAUAUGAGCUCCUGCUGCAUGGUCUGCGUUUGGAAAGAUUUUUCGGUUGGGGAUGGGCUCGCGGCCUAUCAGCUUGUUGGUGAGGUAAUGGCUCACCAAGGCGUCGACGGGUAGCCGGCCUGAGAGGGUGACCGGCCACACUGGGACUGAGACACGGCCCAGACUCCUACGGGAGGCAGCAGUGGGGAAUAUUGCACAAUGGGCGCAAGCCUGAUGCAGCAACGCCGCGUGAGGGAUGACGGCCUUCGGGUUGUAAACCUCUUUUAGCAGGGAAGAAGCGAAAGUGACGGUACCUGCAGAAAAAGCGCCGGCUAACUACGUGCCAGCAGCCGCGGUAAUACGUAGGGCGCAAGCGUUAUCCGGAAUUAUUGGGCGUAAAGAGCUCGUAGGCGGUUUGUCGCGUCUGCUGUGAAAUCCCGAGGCUCAACCUCGGGCCUGCAGUGGGUACGGGCAGACUAUAGUGCGGUAGGGGAGAUUGGAAUUCCUGGUGUAGCGGUGGAAUGCGCAGAUAUCAGGAGGAACACCGAUGGCGAAGGCAGAUCUCUGGGCCGUAACUGACGCUGAGGAGCGAAAGGGUGGGGAGCAAACAGGCUUAGAUACCCUGGUAGUCCACCCCGUAAACGUUGGGAACUAGUUGUGGGGUGCAUUCCGCGGAUUCCGUGACGCAGCUAACGCAUUAAGUUCCCCGCCUGGGGAGUACGGCCGCAAGGCUAAAACUCAAAGGAAUUGACGGGGACCCGCACAAGCGGCGGAGCAUGCGGAUUAAUUCGAUGCAACGCGAAGAACCUUACCAAGGCUUGACAUAUACGAGAACGGGCCAGAAAUGGUCAACUCUUUGGACACUCGUAAACAGGUGGUGCAUGGUUGUCGUCAGCUCGUGUCGUGAGAUGUUGGGUUAAGUCCCGCAACGAGCGCAACCCUCGUUCUAUGUUGCCAGCACGUAAUGGUGGGAACUCAUAGGAGACUGCCGGGGGCAACUCGGAGGAAGGUGGGGAUGACGUCAAAUCAUCAUGCCCCUUAUGUCUUGGGCUUCACGCAUGCUACAAUGGCCGGUACAAAGGGCUGCAAUACCGUGAGGUGGAGCGAAUCCCAAAAAGCCGGUCCCAGUUCGGAUUGAGGUCUGCAACUCGACCUCAUGAAGUCGGAGUCGCUAGUAAUCGCAGAUCAGCAACGCUGCGGUGAAUACGUUCCCGGGUCUUGUACACACCGCCCGGCAAGUCACGAAAGUUGGUAACACCCGAAGCCCAUGGCCCAACCCUUUGGGGGGGAGUGGUCGAAG